AAAGCAAGAACAAAGGAAGAAAAAGAAAGAACAAAAUCCUAGGUGGAAAAAUUCAAGGGAAAAGUAUAAAAAUUCAAGGAAACAAGUGAUAAAAGGUAAGAUUUUUCAAUUCUAGCUUGUGAUCUACCUUUCUUAAGCAUUUUUUCUUAUUUUCCAUGGUUGAAUCACAAGAUAUCAUGAAGGAUAGUGUGCUGAUCAAACCCUAGGAGAGAGAAUUUGAUGAUGAUUUAGAUAGAUUUUUAAGAUAUAAGGAUGUUUUUAGUUGUUUAUGGUGUUAAGUGUAAGAAUUAAGCUUGAAAUUCACAUAUUCCUCAUGAGUUCAUCAUUGGCCGAAUCUUCCUUGUAGAGUGUUGAAGGUGGAUUUGAUUUUAUUUCAAGUAAAUUGGUUAGGAAAUGAUGAAUUAUGGUGAGAAAAUCAAGUAGGAAAAAUCAUAAUGUUGAUGCACUCACCAUGGCCGAAAUUCUCAAGAAGAAAUGUAAGGAUGAUUUUGCCAUAUUUCAAGUUAUUUAACUUGUGUUUGAUGGUUUGGAGAAUUGGAAGAAAGAUGGAAUUAUUUGGAGUUGAAUUGGACGUAUUGGCCAAUUAAUCGGGUGAUAGAUCGAAUUAGGCCAAUAUCGUUUUAUUUAGGUACAUAAUUGAAUUUACAUUGAACACCAUAUUUAGAUAGUUACUCGAGUAUUUCACAUCCCAUUUCAUGCAUUAGUAUAGAGCCUGAAUUGGUUUUAUAACAAUUUAGCAUAAAUGUAGUAAAUGGCUUAUUGUGCAUUAUGUUUAAGUGGUGAGCAUUCUGACAAAAGUAAAGAGAUAGUACCCGAGGAUCAAGAAUCGAAGUACUCAAAAUUCGACUCCCGAAAUAGUGAGUAACCUUAUCAUCAUCUUGAUUAUCUGAAGUGAAUUUUAAUUCGUUUUUUUGAUUUUAUGGAAACUGAGUUUAAAUGGUAAAUUUUUAAGUUUUAUAAACAAAAUGUAUUUAAAUGAAAUGAUUUUAUAAAAUUGUCUUGAAAUUGAAUGAUGGCUUUGAAAAUGGAGUAAUUGGAGACUAGUUGUUGUGUUAUAAAUCAUGGUUUGAAUUGAAUGGCUUAUGAUAAUAUUGGCAUGAAUGGCUAAAUUGGUAUUUGUGUUGAAAAUGUAUGAACUGUUAAUUUGCCUUGAGAGGCUGUAAAAUAAAAUAAUUGCCAUGUCAUGUUGUUGAAUUUUAUUGAAUUGGUGGGUUAUAAAUUGGUCGCUGUAGUGGACGGCUUUCGUGGACCAGCCUAUUAGAGGGGCACGGUAACCCUAUUAUAUUCAUACCUUAGUAUGAGAGGCGCGGUUGGAUAACUCCUGAGGUUAAAACUUUAGAGCUCACUUCACGCCAAACCACCACGUGAGGGUGAACUCAGCCAACGCCAAUGAAAGACUAUGCUUUCAAAAUAAAAACAUGAUUUAUGGGUACAUAACUUUUUAACAGCCUUGGCGGUCUCGAUUGGGAUAGCCCUCGGCCAAGGUAUCCCUAAUAACUGAGUAUGAGAAUGAUUUUAGCACAAGCCAAAGUUUUAAGAAAUUCAUAAGCCAUGUUGAUUACUCGAUUUAUAUGAAUUGAUUUUAUUUGGUUGAAAUGAGUUGAAAGGUGAUGAAUUACAGUAUGUUAAACUAUUUUAUCUAUCUCUAUUUACUCAGCUUUAGAUAUUUUAGAUGGUACUUGUUUACUCACUGGGAUUAUAUAAUCUCACCACCCGUAUUUUCACCCAUUUUAGGCUCAGGAUAGUCGGUAGAUAGCUCAUUUCGUUGAGAGCUAUAGUUGGACUUGCAUUCUCAAAAACUUAGGUUUACUGCUUUUGAUACUUUUAGUAGUUCGUGGGCCCAUGUGUCACUGUAAAUUAAAUUUUAUACUUUGGUUAUCUGUAUUACAGUAUGUAUGAAUUUAUUUAGCUUUUACGCUACAAAAAUUAUUUACUAGUAACUCUAUAAAUAUUGUUUUAUAAGAAAAUAGAAUAUUUUAUUAAAUAUUUUUGUUAUAUUCAAAUAGUCAUAAUUUUAUUUCAAAUGAAUGUUUUAGACAUCUAAACUUAUUUUUGACUAUGAAAUAUGUGUUUUCCACUUGCAUACUACAUUUUUAGCUGGUUUCGAGAUUUUUGAGAAAAAAUGUAGUAUGACUAUUUGAUGAAGCUAAAAUCUCGAAAUGUAGUAUCAAGGGUAGAUAAAAUAAUUUUCGAGAUUUUUGAGAAAAAAUGUAGUAUGACUAUUUAAUAGAAAAAAUGUAUCAUGCAUUUUGGUCAUUUUUUCUCAAAAUAAAUCUCAAAAAUCUCGAAAGUUGUUAAGUAUCAUGUUUUGAGAGAUUAUAAACUAUUUUCAAAUUUAAAACAAUAGAAAAAUAAUUUUGUAGUAUGCAAGUGGAAAACACAUAUUUCAUAAUCUCAAAAAUCAUAUUUCAUAAUAGUCAUGCAUUAUAAACUAUUUCCAAAUCAAAACAAUAGAAAAAUAAUUUUGUAGUAUGCAAGUGGAAAACACAUGCAUAAUCUCUCAAAACAUGAUACUUAACAACUUUUGCUCACAAGGGAGGUGCGAAAACUGAUAUUAAAGCCUUGCGAGGUUCCAGUUGGUAUUCCAGGCGAUGAAUGUCUAUCGGGACGUCGCGGUGGUUGUCAUGGGCUCAAGGGGAGUACCGGGUCAUGACCACUACAUAUGAGGCAAACCUCUAAGUAGCCAAAACUCUAAAAAGCAAUUCAAGUAGUCCUCGAAUAAAUCUCUUGAUACUUUUUUGUUUAGUUAGGACCAAGUUAAGAGCAUAUCUUGAGAGUUGGGUGAAGCGAACAUCAUACUCCGUCAUUGUCAUGUUUGUGGUCUAUCUCAAGGUCUCAAAUUCUUAUGCCUUAAUGUCUCUUUUGCUUUCAGGCAAGAAAUGAUCUAGAAAAGCUUGGACAAAUUCCUCCCAUAUUAUUGGAGAUGACCCUGAUUGUGUACUUCUCUUAAGUGUAAUAAACCAAAUUCUAGCCAUGUCUUUUAGUCUAGAACCUGCCAAUUCCAUUGACCGAUUAUGGAACAUCCUAAAGCCAAACAAAUGCACUCCAUGUUUUCCAAAAACCUUUACGGAUAUUCCUCCGCAUCUAAACCAGUAAAUGAUAGGGGCAUUAGUUUCAUAAAAUUUACCAAAGUGACCUCAAUAGCCUUUCCCUGAUGUUCACUUUAAGGUACAUAGUCUGGAUCUUGUAAAUUAGAUCAACCCAUUCCUCAGUUG
This 3215-nucleotide long non-coding RNA is filed under the name Theobroma cacao (cacao). RNAcentral's name for it is "long non-coding RNA (TCAC_LNC000442)". The record is from RNAcentral. Lineage: Eukaryota; Viridiplantae; Streptophyta; Magnoliopsida; Malvales; Malvaceae.